UCGGGAAUUUUGUGCAAUGGGCGAAAGCCUGACACAGCAACGCCGCGUGAAGGAUGAAGUCCCUCGGGAUGUAAACUUCGUAAGAAUAGGAAGAAUAAAUGACGGUACUAUUUGUAAGGUCCGGCUAACUACGUGCCAGCAGCCGCGGUAAUACGUAGGGACCAAGCGUUGUUCGGAUUUACUGGGCGUAAAGGGUGCGUAGGCGGCAUAUCAAGUCACUUGUGAAAUCUCCGGGCUUAACUCGGAACUGCCAAGUGAUACUGAUGUGCUAGAGUGCAGAAGGGGCAAUCGGAAUUCUUGGUGUAGCGGUGAAAUGCGUAGAUAUCAAGAGGAACACCUGAGGUGAAGACGGGUUGCUGGGCUGACACUGACGCUGAGGCGCGAAAGCCAGGGGAGCAAACGGGAUUAGAUACCCGAGUAGUCCCUGAGCGGGCUGGCAAGGCGCAU
RNAcentral lists this ribosomal RNA (447 nucleotides) under uncultured bacterium. Its description in RNAcentral is "bacterial SSU rRNA". It matches the Rfam family "Bacterial small subunit ribosomal RNA", at positions 355 to 825 of the family's 1533-position model. The record is from RNAcentral.